UACGGAGGGUGCGAGCGUUGUCCGGAAUCACUGGGCGUAAAGGGCGCGUAGGCGGCUCAUGAAGGCUGUGGUGAAAGUCCGGGGCUCAACCUCGGAUCGGCCGUGGCGACUCGUGGGCUGGAGCACUGUAGAGGCGGGUGGAAUUCCGGGUGCAGCGGUGGAAUGCGUAGAGAUCCGGAAGAACACCAGUGGCGAAGGCGGCCCGCUGGGCAGUGGCUGACGCUGAAGCGCGACAGCGUGGGGAGCAAACAGG
Molecule: ribosomal RNA, 253 nt
Filed under: uncultured bacterium
Lineage: Bacteria
Description: partial 16S ribosomal RNA
Rfam family: Bacterial small subunit ribosomal RNA
Source: RNAcentral